GAUGAACGCUGGCGGCGUGCCUAACACAUGCAAGUCGAACGAGAGAAGAUCGGUGCUUGCACUGAUCCGAUCGAGUGGCGGACGGGUGAGUAACGCGUGGGUAACCUGCCUCAUACAGGGGAAUAACAGUUGGAAACGGCUGCUAAAACCGCAUAAGCGCACAGUAUCGCAUGAUACAGUGUGAAAAACUCCGGUGGUAUGAGAUGGACCCGCGUCUGAUUAGCUAGUUGGUGAGGUAACGGCCCACCAAGGCAACGAUCAGUAGCCGGCCUGAGAGGGUGAACGGACACAUUGGGACUGAGACACGGCCCAAACUCCUACGGGAGGCAGCAGUGGGGAAUAUUGCACAAUGGGGGAAACCCUGAUGCAGCGACGCCGCGUGAGUGAUGAAGUAUUUCGGUAUGUAAAGCUCUAUCAGCAGGGAAGAUAAUGACGGUACCUGACUAAGAAGCACCGGCUAAAUACGUGCCAGCCGCCGCAGUAA
RNAcentral lists this ribosomal RNA (484 nucleotides) under uncultured bacterium. RNAcentral describes it as "partial 16S ribosomal RNA". It matches the Rfam family "Bacterial small subunit ribosomal RNA", at positions 28 to 523 of the family's 1533-position model. The record is from RNAcentral.